ACUCCCCGGCCCGGCCCGAGGGGAGCGCUGCGCGGCCAGCGCGCAGGCGCCGCAGCUUCCGCCCGGCUCGCCCGUCAAUCACCGGGACGGUUGGGCGGAGGGGCGGCCCGGGGCUGGAGGGGCGGGGCUUUGGGGACCCUCAAAAACCAGGCUUCCGCGGCGGCCAGACGUGAUUGGUGGGCCGCCGUGAAGGAACUGGCCGUGGAGGAGCCUAUUUGGAAACCGCAAUAGAAGUACCGUUGCAAGGAAGAAAAAAAAAAAAAGGAAGAAGAAGAAGAAGUUGUGUUGCUGCCAACCUACCUGAAGGCUACUGGAAAAGGAAGGCCGUCAUCCAGGUGCGGCAGGCAGCCUGUAAAACACGCCCACACGCGCAUUCAUCAUCAUCAGGUGGUGUUUAAAUGCCCACACCUUCGUAGUCUGGCUGAUGAGUCUGUUGGCCAGGUCACACUGCUACCUGGCACCUUAUGUGACUCCCGAAAAAUUGACUGCCUGCCCCUCCUAAGAUCUCCGCCGGGAUCCCCUCUGGCCUCCCCAGUACAGAAUCCUGAGAAUCACAUGCAAAAUUGGGAACAUGACCAGAUAAUGGAAACAAUCCUGGAACAAGGAGAUUGCAUAAACAGAAACAAGAUACACACUGGCAAGCAUAAAUGGCCAGCCCCAGAGUGAUGCCAUGUAAAGACCCUGAGAAGGUCUGCGACUGGAAACCACCCCAAGGAGUCUCUGCCCUCCUUUCUCUUGUGCUGCCCCCCUGAUGCCGCCACAAUC
Rhinolophus ferrumequinum (greater horseshoe bat) is the source of this 765-nucleotide long non-coding RNA. RefSeq lists it as uncharacterized. NCBI's taxonomy places the organism in Eukaryota, Metazoa, Chordata, Mammalia, Chiroptera, Rhinolophidae. The transcript is spliced from 4 exons. The record is from RefSeq and is a predicted model, not a curated record.